AAACAUAGGCACUCAUGCAUGGGAUUUCAAAGAUAUAUGAUAUUGUGAUUCGAAUUGAGUGAGUAUGUUGAAAGAGCUGAAUGAGUACAAGUGCUAAUAGUUACGAGUCUUGAAAUAUACAUGGAUGAAAAAAUUAAUGCGGCAAGGUGAGCCAAACUAAUGAGGAUUAUUUCGGCCGUGUUGUCACCGUAAUAUCAACAACUGCCACGAAGGUACAUAUUUAUAUAAAUAACUACAUGCGCUAUGUGUGUAUUUAUUGUAUAGGAAAGUUACUAUCAAGUGCGCACAUAGAACUCGCUAUCAUCUACAAGUGCAACUAGAGUUUAUAUCCAUUUGAAUAUCAUCAGGUAAUCUAAUACCUUUGAAUGCAAUAGUUUGGUGCAACCGAAGUUGAUAUUCAGACAUCAAAAAGGAGACCCAAAGUAAUGAUUUCACAUCUCCUGUGAAGAUGAGCUGCUGAUUAGUAGUAUGCGUAAGCAUAAGUUGCAGGAACAUCAAUUGUAGACGUGCAUAAAUCUGUGAUUGGAGAUGUGCUCUUACCUUAUUAUUUAUACUUGGAAUGCGCUGAGCAGAACUCCGUCAUUGAAGAUGUACCCUUUACUUAUUAUUUUCUUUGAAUAAUGUUGUAUGAUACUCCCAUAUGAUUUCAGUCUGGUACAAAGUUGUGGAUACAAUUCAAUAAGUUCAUAGAAAACCCAUAUGCAAGGAUAUAUAGUUUAUAUUUGUAGAUGCUCUAUGUUAGGACAUCCUUCUAAUUAAAGAGUUAAAGAAAUAAACCCGACAAAUAAGUAACUCAUUGAUUCUUAUUUAUUUAUAUACUAUUUCAGAUGGUGAAGGAUUUAGUCAAGAGCGAUUGAAUGUGGAAUCACAUGGUAAUUUCCUUAGUAAGGCGAUUCUCCUUUUUUGCUGUGGGUAAUAUGUGUAAAAUUCAAAGAACAUGGUGAUGAUGGUUCCAAUGUAUGGCUUCCCAAGUUUCCUUUUUUGGAUCAUUCAUUAGGUGGCAUAUGUAUUAAUUAACAUUUGACCACUACUUUUUGUACGUCGUCCAGAAUUAUUAAUUUCAUUAGUUAAUUCAUAUUUUUUGGAAAAUGAAUAUGUCAGUUAAGAGGAUUUUGACUACCUUUUCAGAAAGUAUUCAGGGCACCGAGUAACAAGUAAUGGAAGCUCAGGUCUAGGUAGUGGGAUAAAUAUAAGAUAACAAAUCAUAAUAAAUAAAUAAAAAACAUCAUGUAGCUUUUACGACUCUUCAAGUUUGAAGUUUAUUCUAGAUUUCCAGUCAAACAAGAUAUAUGUACAGGUCAACUCCUCU
Molecule: long non-coding RNA, 1309 nt
Filed under: Hordeum vulgare
Lineage: Eukaryota; Viridiplantae; Streptophyta; Magnoliopsida; Poales; Poaceae
Description: long non-coding RNA (HVUL_LNC000475)
Source: RNAcentral